AUUGAACGCUGGCGGCAGGCCUAACACAUGCAAGUCGGACGGUAGCACAGAGGAGCUUGCUCUUCGGGUGACGAGUGGCGGACGGGUGAGUAAUGUCUGGGAAACUGCCCGAUGGAGGGGGAUAACUACUGGAAACGGUAGCUAAUACCGCAUAACGUCGCAAGACCAAAGUGGGGGACCUUCGGGCCUCACACCAUCGGAUGUGCCCAGAUGGGAUUAGCUGGUAGGCGGGGUAACGGCCCACCUAGGCGACGAUCCCUAGCUGGUCUGAGAGGAUGACCAGCCACACUGGAACUGGUACACGGUCCAGACUCCUACGGGAGGCAGCAGUGGGGAAUAUUGCACAAUGGGCGCAAGCCUGAUGCAGCCAUGCCGCGUGUAUGAAGAAGGCCUUUGGGUUGUAAAGUACUUUCAGCGGGGAGGAAGGUGCUGAGGUUAAUAAGCUCAGCAAUUGACGUUACCCGCAGAAGAAGCACCGGCUAACUCCGUGCCAGCAGCCGCAGUAA
RNAcentral lists this ribosomal RNA (506 nucleotides) under uncultured bacterium. RNAcentral's name for it is "partial 16S ribosomal RNA". It matches the Rfam family "Bacterial small subunit ribosomal RNA", at positions 30 to 523 of the family's 1533-position model. The record is from RNAcentral.